CAGCGGGAGCUGCAGCUGGUGAGCGUCUGUGCCCUACUGGUUGCGUGCAAGUACAAAGAGAUUUGGUCUCCAGAGGUGAACAACGUCAUAUUGUUCUCCGACAACACAUAUACUAGGGAGCAGAUUCUAAGGAUGGAGAAGGCAAUCCUGAACAUGCUUGAGUGGAACCUGACAGUGCCCACACCUUACGUCUUCCUCGCGCGACUCGCCAAGGCCGCGUCCUCCUGA
Molecule: ribosomal RNA, 228 nt
Filed under: Triticum aestivum (bread wheat)
Lineage: Eukaryota; Viridiplantae; Streptophyta; Magnoliopsida; Poales; Poaceae
Description: partial small subunit ribosomal RNA
Source: RNAcentral